CCUACGGGGGGCAGCAGUAGGGAAUAUUGCUCAAUGGGGGAAACCCUGAAGCAGCAACGCCGCGUGGAGGAUGAAGGUUUUCGGAUUGUAAACUCCUUUUGUUAGAGAAGAUAAUGACGGUAUCUAACGAAUAAGCACCGGCUAACUCCGUGCCAGCAGCCGCGGUAAUACGGAGGGUGCAAGCGUUACUCGGAAUCACUGGGCGUAAAGAGCGCGUAGGCGGGAGAGCAAGUCAGAUGUGAAAUCCUAUGGCUUAACCAUAGAACUGCAUUUGAAACUGUUAGUCUAGAGUAUGGGAGAGGUAGGUGGAAUUCUUGGUGUAGGGGUAAAAUGCGUAGAGAUCAAGAGGAAUACUCAUUGCGAAGGCGACCUGCUAGAACAUAACUGACGCUGAUGCGCGAAAGCGUGGGGAGCAAACAGGAUUAGAUACCCCUGUAGUC
RNAcentral lists this ribosomal RNA (440 nucleotides) under uncultured bacterium. RNAcentral's name for it is "partial 16S ribosomal RNA". It matches the Rfam family "Bacterial small subunit ribosomal RNA", at positions 338 to 795 of the family's 1533-position model. The record is from RNAcentral.